Molecule: long non-coding RNA, 614 nt
Organism: Cucurbita pepo subsp. pepo (vegetable marrow)
Lineage: Eukaryota; Viridiplantae; Streptophyta; Magnoliopsida; Cucurbitales; Cucurbitaceae
Source: RefSeq, a predicted model, not a curated record
AAUGGAUUGAUUUAUCAGAAUUCAAUUCAUUCGUCUCCUCUGCCUCUCGACGGAAGAAGACAACUGGAUCUGGCGGGAAAUUAGAGCUCUUCGCAUUGUGCCGACGGUAUCGGAAGUUGUUAGUUUUCUGAAAAGAAAAGAAGAGAAAGGUAAAAAGGCUGCAGAACUAAUGAGAAUGGAGGCAAGUUUCUGUUUACCGACAUUGAUGGCCAUUACCUUCAAUCAUACAAAUGAUAAGUGUGAACUCUAUGAUUGACUUUGAUGCAAACUUUACAUCUGAUCUUGACAUGAUUUGUUUUGAUGGUUCAUCUUCAGUUUAAUCAUUUGAGAGAAUGAAAGAAGUUUGCUUGGUUAUGAGAAUUCCAAAUAAGUGGGUUGAUGCCAAAUAUUACAUUCCUAGAAAGUUGACGUCCAACCAACUCUGGGGUCAUUUAAGAGCUUGACGGUACGGUUCCAACUCCAUUGAUGUAAGAAUCCCUUUUCAUUGUUAUCAUCAGAAGCUUUAUAUGUGUGGAAGAUAAUGCUUUGUUCAUCCUGGGCUUCAGUUUCCACCUUCUUUGUACUUGUUAUGAUUCUUGGUAUUUAGUCUAUAGACCAUCUCCUUUGACAGUUCA